CGCGCAGGCGGUCAUUCAAGUCGAGUGUGAAAGCCCCCGGCUCAACUGGGGAGGGUCACUCGAUACUGUUUGACUCGAAGGCGGGAGAGGGAAGUGGAAUUCCCGGUGUAGUGGUGAAAUGCGUAGAUAUCGGGAGGAACACCAGUGGCGAAGGCGACUUCCUGGCCCGUUCUUGACGCUGAGGCGCGAAAGCUAGAGGAGCAAACG
This 207-nucleotide ribosomal RNA is filed under the name uncultured bacterium. RNAcentral's name for it is "partial 16S ribosomal RNA". It matches the Rfam family "Bacterial small subunit ribosomal RNA", at positions 568 to 774 of the family's 1533-position model. The record is from RNAcentral.